This 486-nucleotide ribosomal RNA is filed under the name uncultured bacterium. RNAcentral's name for it is "partial 16S ribosomal RNA". It matches the Rfam family "Bacterial small subunit ribosomal RNA", at positions 28 to 507 of the family's 1533-position model. The record is from RNAcentral.
GAUGAACGCUGGCGGCGUGCCUAAUACAUGCAAGUCGAACGCUGGAAAUCUAGCUUGCUAGCUUGAAGGAGUGGCGAACGGGUGAGUAAUACAUAAGCAACCUACCCACGAAGACUGGGAUAAUCUCUGGAAACGGGGACUAAUACCGGAUAGGUAAUCGGAAGGCAUCUUCUGAUUAUUAAAGGUUAAAAACACUGGUGGAUGGGCUUAUGGCGCAUUAGUUAGUUGGUGAGGUAACGGCCCACCAAGACGAUGAUGCGUAGCCGGCCUGAGAGGGUGAACGGCCACAUUGGGACUGAGACACGGCCCAGACUCCUACGGGAGGCAGCAGUAGGGAAUUUUCGGCAAUGGGGGAAACCCUCACCGAGCAACGCCGCGUGAGUGAUGACGGCCUUCGGGUUGUAAAGCUCUGUUGUAAGGGAAGAACGGUAGAUAGAGAAUAUCUAAAUGACGGUACCUUACCAGAAAGCCACGGCUAACUACGUG